Molecule: ribosomal RNA, 433 nt
Filed under: uncultured bacterium
Lineage: Bacteria
Description: partial 16S ribosomal RNA
Rfam family: Bacterial small subunit ribosomal RNA
Source: RNAcentral
AGCGAACGCUGGCGGCAGGCCUAACACAUGCAAGUCGAACGAACUCUUCGGAGUUAGUGGCGGACGGGUGAGUAACACGUGGGAACGUGCCUUUUGGUUCGGAAUAACUCAGGGAAACUUGUGCUAAUACCGAAUGUGCCCUUCGGGGGAAAGAUUUAUCGCCAUUAGAGCGGCCCGCGUCUGAUUAGCUAGUUGGUGAGGUAACGGCUCACCAAGGCGACGAUCAGUAGCUGGUCUGAGAGGAUGACCAGCCACACUGGGACUGAGACACGGCUCAGACUCCUACGGGAGGCAGCAGUGGGGAAUCUUGCGCAAUGGGCGAAAGCCUGACGCAGCCAUGCCGUGUGAAUGAUGAAGGUCUUAGGAUUGUAAAAUUCUUUCACCGGGGACGAUAAUGACGGUACCCGGAGAAGAAGCCCCGGCUAACUUCGUG